CCUACGGGUGGCAGCAGUGAGGAAUAUUGGUCAAUGGACGAGAGUCUGAUGGAGCAACGCCGCGUGGGUGAAGAAGGUCUUCGGAUCGUAAAACCCUGUUGUUAGAGAAGAAAGUGCGUGAGAGUAACUGUUCACGUUUCGACGGUAUCUAACCAGAAAGCCACGGCUAACUACGUGCCAGCAGCCGCGGUAAUACGUAGGUGGCAAGCGUUAUCCGGAUGUAUUGGGCGUAAAGGGAACGCAGGCGGUCUGUUAAGUCUGAUGUGAAAGCCUUCGGCUUAACCGGGGUAGUGCAUUGGAAACUGGGAGACUUGAGUGCAGAAGAGGAGAGUGGAACUCCAUGUGUAGCGGUGAAAUGCGUAGAUAUAUGGAAGAACACCAGUGGCGAAAGCGGCUCUCGGGUCUGUAACUGACGCUGGGGUUCGAAAGCGUGGGUAGCAAACAGGAUUAGAUACCCAGUAGUC
This 464-nucleotide ribosomal RNA is filed under the name uncultured bacterium. RNAcentral's name for it is "partial 16S ribosomal RNA". It matches the Rfam family "Bacterial small subunit ribosomal RNA", at positions 338 to 795 of the family's 1533-position model. The record is from RNAcentral.